AUUGAACGCUGGCGGCGUGCCUAACACAUGCAAGUCGAUCGGUAACGCGGGAGCAAUCCUGGCGACGAGAGGCGGACGGGUGAGCAAUGCUUGGGAAUCUGCCUAUUAGUGGGGGACAACCCGGGGAAACUCGGGCUAAUACCGCAUACGCUCUUCGGAGGAAAGCGGGGGACCGUAAGGCCUCGCGCUAAUAGAUGAGCCCAAGUCGGAUUAGCUAGUUGGUGAGGUAACGGCUCACCAAGGCGACAAUCCGUAGCUGGUCUGAGAGGACGACCAGCCACACCGGAACUGAGACACGGUCCGGACUCCUACGGGAGGCAGCAGUGGGGAAUACUGGACAAUGGGGAAACCCUGAUCCAGCGACGCCGCGUGGGUGAAGAA
RNAcentral lists this ribosomal RNA (381 nucleotides) under uncultured bacterium. Its description in RNAcentral is "bacterial SSU rRNA". It matches the Rfam family "Bacterial small subunit ribosomal RNA", at positions 29 to 412 of the family's 1533-position model. The record is from RNAcentral.